This 522-nucleotide long non-coding RNA is filed under the name Coturnix japonica (Japanese quail). RNAcentral describes it as "lncRNA (ENSCJPG00005002952.1)". The record is from RNAcentral. Lineage: Eukaryota; Metazoa; Chordata; Aves; Galliformes; Phasianidae.
AGUCCUCCAGCCCCAUAGGGGGCGCUGUGGGGCUCAAUAGAACUCUAUGGGGCUCUAUGGGUCUCUAUGGGUCUCUAUGGGUCUCUAUUGGUCUCUGUGGGUCCCUAUGGGUCCCUAUGGGUCCCUAUGGGUCCCUAUGGGUCUCUAUGAGUCCCUAUGGGGUCCCUAUGGGUCCUUAUGUCCCCCUAUGGGUCUCUAUGGGGCCCUGUGGGGUCCCUAUGGGUCCCUAUGGGUCUCUAUGUGUCCCUAUGGGUCUCUAUGGGGCUCUAUGGGUCCCUAUGGGUCCCUAUUGGUCUCUAUGGGUCCCUAUGGGUGAUAUGGGGUGUCUAUGGGGCUCUAUGGGGCUCAGUCCUCCAGCCCCAUAGGGGGCGCUGUGGGGCUCAGUCCUCCAGCCCCAUAGGGGGCGCUGUGGGGCUCUAUGGGGCUCAGUCCUCCAGCCCCAUAGGGGGCGCUGUGUUGCUCACUGUUGCCUUCUCUCGCCCGCAGGUUUCCGUCGCCGUCGCUGAUUGGGUCGUUAAUUAA